CACCCAUCAAUCCUAUAGCUCCUUUUUUAAAUAGACUUAGAUCCAACAGACACUCAGCCCAUAUGGAACAAAUCUUAAAGAUGUUUAAAUAAGUGAAAGUAAAUAUCCUUCUAUUAGACAUGAUUCAAUAAGUUUUCACAUACGCCAAUUUCUCAAAAACCUAUACACAAAGAAGCAGACCAUCAAUAUUCUCAAAAAAGCCUUCUUGGCGGCC
RNAcentral lists this long non-coding RNA (214 nucleotides) under Elaeis guineensis (African oil palm). RNAcentral describes it as "long non-coding RNA (EGUI_LNC012759)". Lineage: Eukaryota; Viridiplantae; Streptophyta; Magnoliopsida; Arecales; Arecaceae. The record is from RNAcentral.